Non-coding RNA from Triticum urartu, 95 nucleotides. The record is from Rfam. NCBI's taxonomy places the organism in Eukaryota, Viridiplantae, Streptophyta, Magnoliopsida, Poales, Poaceae.
GAUGCCAUGAUUAUCCAUAUAGGUUUUUGGCAGUGGUGGCUGCUAUCACCGUGAGCCUUCAAACCAAAAAACUACUUCUCUUUCCAGUGAGCAUU